RNAcentral lists this ribosomal RNA (253 nucleotides) under uncultured bacterium. Its description in RNAcentral is "partial 16S ribosomal RNA". It matches the Rfam family "Bacterial small subunit ribosomal RNA", at positions 524 to 776 of the family's 1533-position model. The record is from RNAcentral.
UACGUAGGGGGCAAGCGUUAUCCGGAAUUACUGGGUGUAAAGGGUGAGUAGGCGGCAUGGUAAGCCAGAUGUGAAAGCCUUGGGCUUAACCCGAGGAUUGCAUUUGAAACUAUCAAGCUAGAGUACAGGAGAGGAAAGCGGAAUUCCUAGUGUAGCGGUGAAAUGCGUAGAUAUUAGGAAGAACUCCAGUGGCGAAGGCGGCUUUCUGGACUGAAACUGACGCUGAGGCACGAAAGCGUGGGGAGCGAACAGG